CUACGUAGGUGACAAGCGUUAUCCGGAUUUACUGGGCGUAAAGGGCGUGUAGGCGGUCUUGCAAGUCAGAAGUGAAAUUCCUGAGCUCAACUCGGGCGCUGCUUCUGAAACUGCAGGACUUGAGUGCUGGAGGGGAUAGCGGAAUUCCUAGUGGAGCGGUAAAAUGCGCAGAUAUUAGGAAGAACACCGGUGGCGAAGGCGGCGAUCUGGACAGCAACUGACGCUGAGGCGCGAAAGCGUGGGGAGCAAACAGGAUUAGAUACCCUGGUAGGCCACGCCGUAAACGAUGAAUACUAGGUGUAGGGGGUAUCGACUCCCUCUGUGCCGCAGUUAACACAAUAAGUAUUCCGCCUGGGGAGUACGGCCGCAAGGUUGAAACUCAAAUGAAUUGACGGGG
RNAcentral lists this ribosomal RNA (397 nucleotides) under uncultured bacterium. RNAcentral's name for it is "partial 16S ribosomal RNA". It matches the Rfam family "Bacterial small subunit ribosomal RNA", at positions 523 to 918 of the family's 1533-position model. The record is from RNAcentral.